RNAcentral lists this transfer RNA (73 nucleotides) under Stegodyphus mimosarum. It matches the Rfam family "tRNA". Rfam says of the family: Transfer RNA (tRNA) molecules are approximately 80 nucleotides in length. Their secondary structure includes four short double-helical elements and three loops (D, anti-codon, and T loops). Further hydrogen bonds mediate the characteristic L-shaped molecular structure. tRNAs have two regions of fundamental functional importance: the anti-codon, which is responsible for specific mRNA codon recognition, and the 3' end, to which the tRNAs corresponding amino acid is attached (by aminoacyl-tRNA synthetases). tRNAs cope with the degeneracy of the genetic code in two manners: having more than one tRNA (with a specific anti-codon) for a particular amino acid; and 'wobble' base-pairing, i.e. permitting non-standard base-pairing at the 3rd anti-codon position. The record is from Rfam by way of RNAcentral. Lineage: Eukaryota; Metazoa; Arthropoda; Arachnida; Araneae; Eresidae.
GUCUUCGUGGUGUAGUGCUCAGCACGCUCGACUCGUAACCGAGAGAUCCGUGGUUCGAUUCCCUGUGAAGGUG